ACGUUUUAACUAUGAUUUAAGUGGUUUAAAAACACUAAAUAAGUAACCAUGAUUAUUUUAUGGGAUCUGGGUCCAUUGGGAUAUAAAGGAUAUUGUGUUUGUUUGUUUUAGCAGUUUUAAAUUGCUCUUUGUGAUAGUAUCUAAAUUAAUGAAAGAAAUAAGCAUGAACUAUGAAAGAAUGUUGAAUACAUUGGUUAAACUAUUACAAAGCAUAAAAGUUGUUUACAGUUGGCUAACCAUCAAUUUAUUAGUUACAGGUCUACAAGGAAUUGUAUAAACAAUUGUAUUUACCCCCUUUUUUCAGGUCGUGGAGGGUUUGCCUUAAUUCCUUUUAUUAAAGGAGAUUUUGUUGUCAAAUAUAGGGGUGAAAUGAUCACCUUAAUUGAAGCCGAACAAAGAAGAGAGGCCAAUCAAGACACUUUUUUUAUGUUUGACUUCAUCUGGCAGAGCAAGAAGUGGAGCAUUGAUGCAACUCAUGAGGAUGGCACCCUUGGCCGCCUUAUAAAUGAUGAUCACAUAAACCCAAAUUGUACAAUGAAAAGGAUUAUCGUUGAGGGAAAACCCUGUUUGUGCCUAUUCGCUGCAAGAGAUAUCAUUCCUGGAGAGGAACUCACAUAUGACUAUGGAGGAAGUCACUGGCCUUGGAGAAAGCCUCCAUGCAAUGAUGAUGACAACAUGACAGCCAUAGAGAACUGCUCUGAGGAUUCUGUAACUACUGCAGCCACUUCACGAUUCACAGCUGAG
This is a long non-coding RNA of Carassius carassius (crucian carp), 744 nucleotides long. RefSeq lists it as uncharacterized. The record is from RefSeq and is a predicted model, not a curated record. The transcript is spliced from 3 exons. NCBI's taxonomy places the organism in Eukaryota, Metazoa, Chordata, Actinopteri, Cypriniformes, Cyprinidae.